Non-coding RNA from Pelobates cultripes (western spadefoot toad), 3164 nucleotides. The record is from the annotation of a GenBank genome assembly. NCBI's taxonomy places the organism in Eukaryota, Metazoa, Chordata, Amphibia, Anura, Pelobatidae.
AAUCCAUCUACAUUGCUUCCCCUGGAUUUAAAAGAGGGGAGUGGGGAUAGUGUGAAUGGUACUUGUACUUCUGAUCUUUUUGUAAAUUCACUUUCACCAGAUGAGUUAGCUGACGCCCAGGUACCCCAUGAUUGUGCAGCACUAAUGGCACAAGAGACAGCAGGUUUUUUGCAUGUAAUUGAUUCUCCAUUAUCUAAUGCAGAUUUUGAGUUUUUUGUAGAUGGUUCCAGAUAUGCUGAUGAGAAGGGUAAUUUCCACACUGGAUAUGCUGUAGUCUCUGCACAUGAGGAAAUAAAAGCUGAACCACUCGCUCCUCACUGCUCUGCACAGGCGGCUGAGCUGAAGGCACUCGCUGAAGCAUGUAAAAUGGCUUCUGGUAAGACUGCUAAUAUUUAUACAGACUCUCGCUAUGCUUUUGGUAUAGCCCAUGAUUUUGGCCCUAUAUGGCGGGCUCGUGAUUUUCUCACCUCAGCAGGAACUCCAAUCAAGAAUUCUGAAGCUGUGAGUGCACUUAUGGACGCUAUCCUGCUACCCACUCAAGUAGGCAUCAUCAAGGUGGCAGCUCACGUGAAGAUCACAGAUGAAAUCUCAAAAGGAAACCACAAAGCAGACGAAGCUGCCAAGCAAGCAGCAAUCCAAGUUCAUCCCUCUACAGGUAAUACCUUCCUACAAGUUGUUCUUACAGAUGACGCCGUUGACUACAAUAUACUGUUGAGCUUACAAAGACAGGCAAGCAAGGAAGAACAUGACCUCUGGAGGAAACAAGAUGCAGAACCUGAUGAUGACAGAAUGUGGAGGAAAGGUAAAAGACUGUGUUUACCACGAGUGUUGUACCCCAUGAUGGCCCAGAUUUCCCAUGGACCUACACAUCUAUCCAAGAUGCACAUGAACCGCAUAGUAAACACCCAUUGGGUAGCACCCGGAUUGCAUAUUUGUGCUAGAAACAAUCCAGGACAAGCUGUGAAAACACCAAGUAAGCACACACCAAGGCCACUUUACCCGUUUCAAAGACUGCAGAUAGACUAUAUUCAACUACCUAAGGUAGGAGUGUAUGAAUAUGUGUUGGUGUACAUUGAUCUCUUUUCAGGUUGGCCUGAGGCCUACCCAGUGUCGAAAGCCACAACAAAGGUCACAGCAAGUAAGCUUCUGAAGGAACUGGUCUGUAGAUUUGGAGUACCUGAAGUGAUUGAAAGUGACAGAGGUAGCCAUUUCACUGGGGAAAUAAUGCAAGAAAUUAUGAAAGCCUUAGGGAUCAGUCAGGCCUUCCACACCCCCUAUCACCCCCAGAGUAGUGGGAAAGUAGAAAGGGCAAAUGGCACCUUAAAGAACAAGAUUGCAAAAGCCAUGCAAGACACAGGGAAGCCCUGGACUGAAUGCCUUCCCCUAGCACUCUUUUCUAUGAGAUUCACCCCCAAUUCCAGACAUGGCUUAUCCCCUUUUGAGAUCCUGUUUGGAUGUGCCCCAAAGACAGGCCUCUAUUUUCCACAAACCCUCCAGAUGCAGCAUGGUAGUAUGACUGCCUAUGUUCAAGCCCUACACCAAAGAUUAGGCAGGGUGCAUAAACAAGUCUUUGAUUCUAUUCCAGAUCCAGACUCUGAUUCUGCAACUCACAAACUGCAAUCUGGUGAUUGGCUGGUGAUAAAGAGGCAUGUGAGGAAAGGACUUGAACCACGCUUUGACGGUCCAUUCCAAGUGCUCUUGACUACGGCUACCUCAGUGAAACUAGAAGGAAAAGCCACGUGGAUACACACCAGUCACUGUAAACAAGUCACUCCGACCGAUCCACCGACAUAAAGCUGAUCUUAUCCUUUACCAUUGUAUGCUCUGUUCAGAUAUGCUACUCUGACUUGAGACCAGAAGAUAAUAAUGCAUAGCAGGGACAUAUAUAAUUGCAGAUAACAAAGGCUUUUAAUUUAACCUCCUUUUGCCUCAACCCUUUCCUUAGUACGGAAAACGUCAUAGAAUCUUGUCUUAUAGCUGUUCCUACCCCCAUCUCACUCUUGAGGAAGUACCUACAUACCCAUAGAUCCCAUAAAUAUCUACCCGAGUAAUUAAUGCUGUAGCCUGUUCCCUUGCAAAAGGUUUAAAUGUCACUUCACAGGCCCUAGAAGAGCUACUUAUGGACAGCCAGGCAAAUAAGAAGGCAAUCCUUGAGCAUAGAGCAGCCAUUGACUACUUACUAAUAAAACAUGACUUAGGCUGUGAAGCUAUUGAAGGUAUGUGCUGUUUUAACCUAUCUGACCAUGGCACUAUGAUCCAUAAACAUAUAAAAUAUUUACAUGACUUAGUACAGGUUAUCAAACAGGAUACUGGCUUCUUUGGGGAUUGGACAUUUGGGCUAGGAACAUGGUUAACUUUACUAAUUAAGAACAUUUUGUACUUUUUGCUAUUAGCUGUAUUUGUCAUUAUGGCUAUUUUUCUAACCUUUAGAUUUUUUUCAUGUCUACUAACCUCUCUAUGUAAGCAAAGCAAACCUACUGUUGGUCGUACCUUAACUUACAUUCCAGCUCCGACUUCGAAAAGGUUUUAUGAUGUUACCUCGCCUAACAAAUAAAGGAACUCUCCUCUGCUGAUUCUGGUAGUCUCUCAGUCCAAGGGAACCGUGGUGAAGCAAUAAAUGAAAGUCCCACAGGCUUUGGCUAGCAGGCCUGGAUAUACCUUGGACAUUUGGGUGACCCUUGGAUCAAAAGAGGGGAUUGUGAUAGAAUUUAUCUUGAUUCCAAGGCUCAAGCUUAUAGGUGUCAUAUAAUGAUAUCCUAUAUUAAAACUGGCUAACUUGGACUCAGGAAAUGCUUGAAGCUUAAACAACACUUAAGACCAUAUAUGUCUAAGGUCCGGGAGCAGAGAGCCCCCACCUAAGAUGUCUCUGCUCUAAUCAUUUUGUUCUCUCUUGCCUUGAAACUUAUUUGUUAUGUGUACAUGACGCUCAUCCCUAUGUCUUAUCUGUACUCUCUUCCUAUUACUGUUCUAAGAGUAUUUGCACGUAAGCACUUACUUUUUAAUGUAUAAAACCCAGCUGAUGAAUAAAACAUCAGAGGCUUAUUUUGAAUACCAACAGGUGUCUGGUGUCUAAUUCUCGCUUCUCCAAGUGCACUUGAAACAACAAUUUGGGCUUCCUCUGAAUAUAACAAAGAUCAACAUUUCUGAUCCACAACACUAUGUAG